GACGAACGUUGGCGGCGUGCUUAAUACAUGCAAGUCAACUGAAGCAGUGGUAGCAAUAUCGCUGUGGAGGUGGCGCACGGGUGAGUAACACGUAGGUAAUCUGCCUUCAGGUCUGGCAUAACUCCGGGAAACCGGGGCUAAUAGCAGAUGAUGCAGCGGCUCGACAUCGAGACAGUUGUUAAAGCUAUGGCGCCUGAGGAUGAGCCUGCGUCUGAUUAGCUAGUUGGCGGGGUAACGGCCCACCAAGGCAACGAUCAGUAGCUGGUCUGAGAGGAUGAUCAGCCACACUGGAACUGAGACACGGUCCAGACUCCUACGGGAGGCAGCAGUAAGGAAUAUUGCUCAAUGGGAGAAAUCCUGAAGCAGCAACGCCGCGUGAGGGACGAAGGGCUUUUGCUUGUAAACCUCUGUAGUGAGAGAAAAAAAUCCCAAUCUUUGGGACAUGAUGGUAUCUCAAAAGUAAGCCCCGGCUAACUACGUG
Molecule: ribosomal RNA, 481 nt
Filed under: uncultured bacterium
Lineage: Bacteria
Description: partial 16S ribosomal RNA
Rfam family: Bacterial small subunit ribosomal RNA
Source: RNAcentral